Molecule: unclassified non-coding RNA, 278 nt
Filed under: uncultured fungus
Lineage: Eukaryota; Fungi
Description: partial contains small subunit ribosomal RNA, internal transcribed spacer 1, and 5.8S ribosomal RNA
Rfam family: Eukaryotic small subunit ribosomal RNA (bases 1-73)
Source: RNAcentral
GCAAACUUGGUCAUUUAGAGGAAGUAAAAGUCGUAACAAGGUCUCCGUUGGUGAACCAGCGGAGGGAUCAUUACAGAGUUCUUUGCAACUCCCAACCCUGUGAACCGUACCAAUUUUUGUUGUUGCUUCUGGCAGGCGGCCCCCCGGGCCCCCCUGCCAGCGGUGACCUGCUCCAACCUUCUUUUGUAUCUUUUACCGUCUGAGCUUCUAAAGAAAAAAAAUACAUCAAAACUUUCAACAACGGAUCUCUUGGCUCUGGCAUCGAUGAAGAACGCAGC